RNAcentral lists this ribosomal RNA (261 nucleotides) under uncultured bacterium. RNAcentral's name for it is "partial 16S ribosomal RNA". It matches the Rfam family "Archaeal small subunit ribosomal RNA", at positions 744 to 1004 of the family's 1478-position model. The record is from RNAcentral.
GUCCCAGCUGUAAACGAUGCAAACUCGGUGAUGCAUUGGCUUAUGGCCAAUGCAGUGCCGCAGGGAAGCCGUUAAGUUUGCCGCCUGGGAAGUACGGUCGCAAGACUGAAACUUAAAGGAAUUGGCGGGGAGCACCACAAGGGGUGAAGCCUGCGGUUCAAUUGGAGUCAACGCCAGGAAUCUUACCUGGGGAGGACAGCAGAAUGAAGGUCAAGCUGAAGACUUUACCAGACAAGCUGAGAGGAGGUGCAUGGCCGUCGC